GGUGAACGCUGGCGGUAGGCCUAACACAUGCAAGUCGAACGGCAGCACAGUAAGAGCUUGCUCUUACGGGUGGCGAGUGGCGGACGGGUGAGGAAUACAUCGGAAUCUACUUUUUCGUGGGGGAUAACGUAGGGAAACUUACGCUAAUACCGCAUACGACCUACGGGUGAAAGCAGGGGAUCUUCGGACCUUGCGCGAUUGAAUGAGCCGAUGUCGGAUUAGCUAGUUGGCGGGGUAAAGGCCCACCAAGGCGACGAUCCGUAGCUGGUCUGAGAGGAUGAUCAGCCACACUGGAACUGAGACACGGUCCAGACUCCUACGGGAGGCAGCAGUGGGGAAUAUUGGACAAUGGGCGCAAGCCUGAUCCAGCCAUACCGCGUGGGUGAAGAAGGCCUUCGGGUUGUAAAGCCCUUUUGUUGGGAAAGAAAAGCAGCAGGUUAAUACCCCGCUGUUCUGACGGUACCCAGAGAAUAAGCACCGGCUAACUUCGUG
This 492-nucleotide ribosomal RNA is filed under the name uncultured bacterium. Its description in RNAcentral is "partial 16S ribosomal RNA". It matches the Rfam family "Bacterial small subunit ribosomal RNA", at positions 28 to 507 of the family's 1533-position model. The record is from RNAcentral.